AAAGGAACAGCUGGCUUCAGAGACUUCUGGAAGGAGAAGAGAAACUUUUGUUCUCUUUUCCCUCUGCUCCUGGGUUUAAAUGAAAUGGCUGGCUGACUGAUCAGCGGUGUCUCCUUAAAAGGACGUAAAUUGCUGCUUGCAAGAACCUCGGGUGCCAACGCAGUUCCUGGAAAUGAGGGAUAAGGCUGCCUCGCAGGAGACUCAGAAAUAACCGGGGGCUCUUCCAAGGGGUUUGUCCUGGGAGCUGAAACCCCUCCACGCAGAAAAUAAACAAACCUCAGCACCCCAACAGUCUCAGCUGGUGUGUUGGGGACUUUGCAGCCUGAGAGCCUGCAAGCGGCGGCUUUUUCGCAUCACAAGGCGGUGAGUUCUCCCUAACGGGACGAGGGAGGCCUCAGCUCGCCUCAGCGCUUCCUCAGUCCACGGUGUCCCCGGCUUUGGUCCAGCGGUGGAUCUCACGGCCCCCAGAGGGCCCGGUGCCGCUACGCCAGUGAGAGCAUGCAUUCUGUCAGCCCACAAAUGGUUCCCAAGGGUCUACCACGUGCCAGGCACUGUGCUGGGAGCAGUGAGUGAGACGAAGAUUGUUCCUGCUCUUGUGAUAGACCUUAAAUUAAAUAAUUACAUCACUAAUUCCUGCUGUGAUAACUGUUACAGAGGAGAAUGGAGCUCUGUGAGGGUGUAUAAGACAGAUCAAUUUGCUUAGAGGCUCUGCAGAGGUUUCUCGGAGGAAAUGACAGUUAAGCUGAAAAUUGCAGGAUCGGUAGAGACUGGCCAGAAGAAAAAGAAGAGUGUUCCAAGCAGAAGAAACUGCGUGCACUGACGCCCUGAAGCUGGAGGCGGGGGCACUGUGCACACAAGAAAUUUUAGAAAGUUGAUAGAGAUGGCACGCUGUGAGCAAGCUAGAGAAAAGAAAGUGUUUUUUCAAAUUGU
Molecule: long non-coding RNA, 930 nt
Organism: Manis pentadactyla (Chinese pangolin)
Lineage: Eukaryota; Metazoa; Chordata; Mammalia; Pholidota; Manidae
Exons: 3
Source: RefSeq, a predicted model, not a curated record